AUGUUGUGUUGUCAUGUGUUGUUGUCCAUGUUGUGUUGCCACCCAUGUUGUGUUGCCACCCAUGUUGUGUUGCUACCCAUGUUGUGUUGCUACCCAUGUUGUGUUGACACCCAUGUUGUGUUGACACCCAUGUUGUGUUGUCAUGUGUUGCCACCCAUGGUGUGUUACUACCCAUGUUGUGUUGCCACCCAUGUUGUGUUGCCACCCAUGUUGUGUUGCCACCCAUGUUGUGUUGCCACCCAUGUUGUGUUGCUACACAUGUUGUGUUGCCACCCAUGUUGUGUUGCCACCCAUGUUGUGUUGUCAUGUGUUGCCACCCAUGUUGUGUUGCUACCCAUGUUGUGUUGCUACCCAUGUUGUGUUGCUACCCAUGUUGUGUUGCCACCCAUGUUGUGUUGUCAUGUGUUGCCACCCAUGUUGUGUUGCUACCCAUGUUGUGUUGCCACCCAUGUUGUGUUGCUACCCAUGUUGUGUUGCCACCCAUGUUGUGUUGCUACCCAUGUUGUGUUGUCAUGUGUUGCUACCCAUGUUGUGUUGCUACCCAUGUUGUGUUGCCACCCAUGUUGUGUUGCCACCCAUGUUGUGUUGCCACCCAUGUUGUGUUGUCAUGUGUUGCCACCCAUGUUGUGUUGCUACCCAUGUUGUGUUGUCAUGUGUUGCUACCCAUGUUGUGUUGCUACCCAUGUUGUGUUGCCACCCAUGUUGUGUUGUCAUGUGUUGCUACCCAUGUUGUGCUGCUACCCAUGUUGUGUUGCUACCCAUGUUGUGUUGCUACCCAUGUUGUGUUGCUACCCAUGUUGUGUUGUCAUGUGUUGCUACCCAUGUUGUGUAGCCACCCAUGUUGUGUUGUCAUGUGUUGCCACCCAUGUUGUGUUGCUACCCAUGUUGUGUUGUCAUGUGUUGCUACCCAUGUGGUGUUGUCAUGUGUUGCUACCCAUGUUGUGUUGUCAUGUGUUGCUACCCAUGUUGUGUUGCUACCCAUGUUGUGUUGCUACCCAUGUUGUGUUGCUACCCAUGUUGUGUUGUCAUGUGUUGCUACCCAUGUUGUGUUGCUACCCAUGUUGUGUUGUCAUGUGUUGCUACCCAUGUUGUGUAGCCACCCAUGUUGUGUUGUCAUGUGUUGCCACCCAUGUUGUGUUGCUACCCAUGUUGUGUUGUCAUGUGUUGCUACCCAUGUGGUGUUGUCAUGUGUUGCUACCCAUGUUGUGUUGUCAUGUGUUGCUACCCAUGUUGUGUUGCUACCCAUGUUGUGUUGCUACCCAUGUUGUGUUGCUACCCAUGUUGUGUUGCUACCCAUGUGGUGUUGUCAUGUGUUGCUACCCAUGUUGUGUUGUCAUGUGUUGCUACCCAUGUUGUGUUGCUACCCAUGUUGUGUUGUCAUGUGUUGCUGCCUUGCUAUGUUGUUCUCUUAGGUCUCUCUUUAUGUAG
Molecule: long non-coding RNA, 1428 nt
Filed under: Oncorhynchus kisutch (coho salmon)
Lineage: Eukaryota; Metazoa; Chordata; Actinopteri; Salmoniformes; Salmonidae
Description: lncRNA (ENSOKIG00005008189.1)
Source: RNAcentral